Molecule: long non-coding RNA, 1585 nt
Organism: Rattus rattus (black rat)
Lineage: Eukaryota; Metazoa; Chordata; Mammalia; Rodentia; Muridae
Exons: 2
Source: RefSeq, a predicted model, not a curated record
UCAUGGAACGACUUUAAAACUACGAAUGAUAUUUGUUUAUAUUUUGCUUGUAGGAAACUUUCGAUUUAUUUUUCCCCCAGGGAAGGUAGUUUCAAAGUUUUUUAACCCAUUAAGGCGACUCAUAUAACUUGUAUAAUUUAGGUAUAUGACUAUGCCUUUGGCAGUAAAAGAAUCUUGGGAGGAAAUGUUGACAUUCUGCUAUGAUCCCUGUGAGAAUAUUAACAGUCUUCCUAUCCAAUCUCCAACCACCAUCAUUGCCUGGGCUCCCUUCUUCUCUGGGGCUCCUGUGAAUCUGUAUGAUAUGAAGAAUGAAGGACUCAGGAAAAUAUUCCAUAAAUGAUGAUGCAUAUCAGCUCAUACUUACUCCUCAAAUACAGUAAUAGUAUGUCUAGGAUAUUGAAUAGAAAGAUUCAUAUCAAUGAAAGAGGCAGAUGCAUAUGCCCAUUGACACAUGAUGAGACGCCAUUCCGCUACCAAAAUCACAAUACACAGGGAGCUUCUCACGUUUCAUCACUAAACAUGCUUAGCCCAUUCUAAAUCUCCAUUUAACAGUGCAGUGCACUGUGAGAUCAGACUUGUCCCACAGUUACCUCAUGGCUGUCUGAGAGCUGCAGCUGGCCACGACCACCCAGAAGCACAGGAGAAAUUCAAAGUGUAAGGGAUGCCAGACAGCAUGAACUUCAGCGAUGUCAAACAAGUUCAUCGAGCAGACCGUGGAAGUACUCUGGAUACAACCGGUGCGGGAUGCGGGUCAGGAACUGCGUCUAUGACGCUCCUGCUGAUGGGGACGCUGAUGUUUCUUCCCUGGCUUUGGUAAUGGAGCUCUUCUUCAAGACAUACCCUACUGCAGACUUGACUUAUCCCCUAUCUCUUUAUGCCUGGAAAAGAAGAACUCUUAAAAUACCGAUGGAAAUUACAGGAAAGUAUGCGAUAGUAACUUCUUAGAAGCCAACGGAAUGUCCACAGCGUUCCUAUCAAUCAAGACUCUGAUAGUCUGUUUCAAACUCUGUCUUCUUGGCGUCUAACUUAAAACUUCUUAAAUUCUAACACUCAAUCUAAACUAUGAAAACUCAGAAGUGACUUUUAAUAAGAAGGCUUCGGUGUAUCUGUAAUUCUGCUCUGCUCAAUCAAACCCUUUCCUUUCAGUGUUGAGAAUGUUGCCAUUUGAGGGUGUGUUUGCCAAGCACGGAAUACGAUAAGUAGUAUUUUUUAAAGUACUGGGAAUAAAAAUAACAUUAAGUCAAAGCACACAAAGGCAAGUAUUAUGCAUGCAUUGUAGGUGAUACAUUUUUGCGAGUUAAAUCAAGAAGUUGCUACAGGUCUGUGAGCUAUACAGUAGAUUAGCAGAGCGAUUUCACAUAAAUUCACUGAAGGAGCUUGGUAAUGUGUUCUCCCACGAAACCUCCUCUACUGAGCUUAGUGACUUAGGGAUGCCCCUGUGAUGUCCCUUUAACGUUUGAAAUGCACUGUCGUAUCAUGGCUCUGUUCCUCUUUUGUCUUUUCCUAAAACAUCUAGCUAUGUCAGAAAAGCACACUUAUCUACUCCAAUAAAGUCGUUGAUUAUUUGAUGAAAAAUGUUAAAGAA